Molecule: ribosomal RNA, 429 nt
Filed under: Chloroflexota bacterium
Lineage: Bacteria; Bacillati; Chloroflexota
Description: Chloroflexi bacterium partial 16S ribosomal RNA
Rfam family: Bacterial small subunit ribosomal RNA
Source: RNAcentral
UGGGGAAUAUUGCACAAUGGGCGCAAGCCUGAUGCAGCCAUGCCGCGUGUAUGAAGAAGGCCUUCGGGUUGUAAAGUACUUUCAGUCGGGAGGAAGGUGGUAAGGUUAAUAACCUUAUCAAUUGACGUAACCGACAGAAGAAGCACCGGCUAACUCCGUGCCAGCAGCCGCGGUAAUACGGAGGGUGCAAGCGUUAAUCGGAAUUACUGGGCGUAAAGCGCACGCAGGCGGUGGAUUGAGUCAGAUGUGAAAUCCCCGGGCUUAACCCGGGAAUUGCAUCUGAUACUGGUCAGCUAGAGUCUUGUAGAGGGGGGUAGAAUUCCAUGUGUAGCGGUGAAAUGCGUAGAGAUGUGGAGGAAUACCGGUGGCGAAGGCGGCCCCCUGGACAAAGACUGACGCUCAGGUGCGAAAGCGUGGGGAGCAAACAGG